AGAGUUUGAUCAUGGCUCAGAACGAACGCUGGCGGCAGGCCUCAAACAUGCAAGUCUAGGGGGCGUAGCAAUACGUCACCGGCGGACGGGUGCGUAACACGUGGGAAUAUACCUUUUGGUUCGGAACAACGCAGGGAAACUUGCGCUAAUACCGAAUGUGUCCUUACGGAGAAAGAUUUAUCGCCAAAGGAUUAGCCCGCGUUCGAUUAGCUAGUUGGUGAGGUAAUGGCUCACCAAGGCAACGAUCGAUAGCUGUUCUGAGAGGAAGAUCAGCCACACUGGGACUGAGACACGGCCCAGACUCCUACGGGAGGCAGCAGUUGGGAAUCUUGGACAAUGGGGGAAACCCUGAUCCAGCCAUGCCGCGUGAGUGAUGAAGGCCUUCGGGUUGUAAAGCUCUUUUACCCGGGAAGAUAAUGACUGUACCGGGAGAAUAAGCUCCGGCUAACUUCGUGCCAGCAGCCGCGGUAAUACGAAGGGGGCUAGCGUUGUUCGGAAUUACUGGGCGUAAAGCGCGCGCAGGCGGUUUCUCAAGUCAGUGGUGAAAGCCCGGAGCUCAACUCCGGAACUGCCAUUGAAACUGUGAAACUUGAGGACGAGAGAGGUGAGUGGAAUUCCCAGUGUAGAGGUGAAAUUCGUAGAUAUUGGGAAGAACACCGGUGGCGAAGGCGGCUCACUGGCUCGUUUCUGACGCUCAGGCGCGACAGCGUGGGGAUCAAACAGGAUUAGAUACCCUAGUAGUCC
RNAcentral lists this ribosomal RNA (744 nucleotides) under uncultured bacterium. RNAcentral's name for it is "bacterial SSU rRNA". It matches the Rfam family "Bacterial small subunit ribosomal RNA", at positions 8 to 796 of the family's 1533-position model. The record is from RNAcentral.